This is a long non-coding RNA of Gorilla gorilla gorilla (western lowland gorilla), 3538 nucleotides long. RefSeq lists it as uncharacterized. The record is from RefSeq and is a predicted model, not a curated record. The transcript is spliced from 4 exons. Lineage: Eukaryota; Metazoa; Chordata; Mammalia; Primates; Hominidae.
GAGCGCCCAGGGAAGGCGUGCUGACGUCACGACGCCCGGGUCAGGGCCUGGGCGCGGCUCGGAGCCGGGUCGUCGCUAUAGCAAUCGGGAACCGCUACCUGUCCAUUCCAAGGAUUCGGUCCAGCAGAAGCGUGAGGAGAUGGCGGAGGCCCCGAGGGCUUUGCGUCAUCACUUCUGCGGCCUGCGGGCGAGAAGGUGCGCUUCGGGAGUAGCGCGGGAGGUCAGGAGGCGCAGGUUGUGAGGGACGCAGGCCCUGGGGCUUCGGUCUCUGUCCUCCGAGCUCAGAGCCUCCAGGCUUCUUCCCGGCCGCGCGCUCAGCACUCACUGUCUUACGGUCCCGAAGCGCUUUAAGGUGCGCAGUCCGCAGGCCUUGCCUACUGAUCUUCGAGCCACCCCUUGAAGGAAGCAGUUGCAGACGCUGAGCACAGUGCCAAACCUAUAUAGAAACUCAUUUGGGAUAUGGAGGAGAAUAUGCCACCAGUUCUCCAAAGUGGAGGGGUUUCCGUUCAGCUCUGCAUUCUACCCUUCAACUCCUAUGCAGCCAACCAUCAUACCAGUUGAUUCUAAGUGCUGGGAGCCUCUGUCUACACUUACUCUUCACCUCGCUCGGGCUCCAUAGGCAUGGUGUCUACCUGCUGGCCCAUCCUGGGAAGUCAUCCCAACGUGAAAGAAUGGAAAAGAGAGAGCAUGGAAGACUAGUUCAUAGAGACAGGAUCUUGCUCUGCUUAUCCAGGCGGGAAUGCAAUGGCAUGAACAUAGCUCACUGCAACCUCGAAAUCCUGGGCUCAAGUGAUCCUCCCACCUCAGCCUACUGAGUAACUGGGACUAUAUGCGCGUGGCAUCAUGCUCAGCCAAUUUUUUAAAAUUCUUUUUAGAGGCAGGGUCUUGCUAUGUUGCCCAAGCUGGUCUCGAACUCCUGGAUUUGAGCGACCCUCUCAUGUCAGCCUCCCAAAGUGCUGGUAUUACAGGUGUGAGUCACCAUGCCUAGCCAAGGUUUGCUACUAUUAUUCCUUCUCUCCAACCUUCUCCCUGUAUUCUUUCUGAACUCCCUUUCCCUAUCAAAGCCCCAUUUCGGCCUGGUGUGGGGAAAUGCAGCACCAGGUGAGCAUGUGUUGGUGGGGAGGAUUUGGGGAGACACAUCCCCACUGCUUACUCUACCUGUGCUGGGAACUGCACAAAGAAUGGGGGUGAAGUGGGUGAGAGGCCAGUUGGGAACCCAAAAGCUGUCCUCUACAAUUCUUUUUGAAGGCUAGGGAGAUCCCACUCCUACUUCAGGCCAUGCAUUGGAACCAAAGUUGAGGUGGGGGAGAGUGGUGGCUGCACAGAUACCAUAGACAAGCCAAGACCUCCCUGCCUCGCCCUGUCCUGGCAUGAAGGCACAGGUCUGUAACUACAGCAGCUUUUCCCAGCACCAUCUGACAUUUCUUCUGAAUUUGCUUUAGCGCCUAGCAGAGCACUCCAUAAACUCUCCUAAAGUAGGUAGGAAGGGUAGGAUGGGGUAUGGGAUAUGAGGGUCAGAGGGUCAGACCAGAAAGGGUGGAUUAUUAUAAUCCAAGUAGUCCUAAGAUUCUGAGGAUGGGCAGGUGUACCCUAAAAGGGAAGCAGUGGGAUUCCCAAGUAAAUACUUCAUCUACUUCACAAGUUUGCCCAAGCCCAGCUCAGGAACAGUAACAAAUGGAAAUGAGCAGGGAUGCUGGCUGUGGACAAGCAGACCCCCUAGGUAGAGUCCACCCCACCUUCCCAUUACCACAGGAAUUAUUACCUUACCACCCAUAGGGGAGGGGGUAAUUGUGGGCAAAUUUGAUGGGCCCAGUGGGACAGUCAGAAACAGCCUGUCUAGAGCCCUAAUGUACCCACCCACAUAGCUGUGACAUCCUCAGCCCAGCCAGGCUAGCCCAGGAUAUAUGGUGUGUGUAGCGCACUCUGCUAUUUUGCUCUCCUUGAAUGUCCUUGAGGACCCAGUUCAGGUGCCUCUGCUGGGACACUCCCUGUGACACUACCAGCCUUCUCUGAUCUACUCUUUCUCUUGACUCCUAAGACUUACUGUCAGGCUCUCUGGUCACCUGAUCAAUCCCAGGCUUGUGAUACCUCAUAUGCUACCUUGUACCAUUAUUUAACUUUUAGUUCAUGUGUAUAAUUUUCCUACUGAAGCAGUAGGAGCUUGAUGCCAUGGCUCCUAAAGCUUUGAAACCCAUGCAGCAACUGGAAUAGAGCUCAGCAUUCAUUCAUUCACUCACUCACUCACUCAAUAGUUAUUGAGCACCUCCAACAUGCGAAGCACCGUGCUAGGUGCUGGGGAUUUGGCAGUGAACCAGAGAUGAAUUCUACAUUGAAGCCACUUAGUAAAUAUUUGUUAAACAGAUAGACGAGUGGAUGGAGACAUGGAUGCAUUAGUAGUGAGUGGAUAAUGUCUCUAUCUGUGGCAUCCCUUCUGCUCUAUGUUACCUCAGAGAAAAAUCUCACUUCUUUACUCUCCGUGAUCCCACAACUGUUCUGGAUGGAGGAAGUCCCAGGAAGUUUAGUCUCAAGUGGAGAGUAGGGAGAGAGGAAACUAAACUCAGAGGGGUAGUACCCACUUAAAGGCAUCCAUAUGAUGAGUGCUGGGGCCAGAAGAGACUGGGACCAAUGAGUCGUAGGGUCUCAGGGUCUUCAGACAUCAUAUGGGGCUGCUACAGGGAUCUUUUCAGAGCAUCCCCUUCAACAGAUGUUCCUCAGCCUCCAUGCUAACUAACACUCAAUGAUGGGGCACCUGAGACAGGCAUUCCACUGCUUGCCCCUGGUGAGUUCCCUCAUUCUCACCUCUAACAUCCAAAAUAAAACCAGCCCAGCCUUGGGCCAUGAUAUCCUAACCCACAGCAUGUGCACAUGUACCCACAUCUGUGCAUAUCUGCUCUACCUCCAGAUCAAAAUAGCAACCAGGGAGAUUGGCAGAGCCUGGAGUACCAGGCUGUCUUCCCAGUUUGGGACUGGCUGAGGCACUGUGACUUCAGUGAGAGUCUGGGCCCAUCCUCAGUCUAGAAAAAGCUUAUGCAAGGAUGAGGGUAGCCUAGAGAAAGUCCAGAAAACCACACACACGACCACCUGUUGAUUCCAAGGAGGAGACAGAGCACUUUCUCCUUUUAAAAACAGUAUCCUCUCCUCUCACUCAAGCUUAGCCUGCUCAACUGAACAGCCAGGAAAAGCUGCUGGUGUUUGGUGAUUUGAAGGGAAGGGGGUCUGAACCUCAGAAGCUUGUCACUUACUGGGGACCCUGAUGAGUUUCUCUCUGUUGUCCUGCCUUAUCCCUAAUCUAGCUCCCUGAUCAUUUGAAUGUAACCCUAAUUGGACAAGAAUUUUCUCCCUUUCAGUAUGGACAAAAUCAACAACCAUGAAUCAGAGACUUUUAGAGGAUGGGUAGUGAAGUGGGGGAAAAACAGAACAUUGUAGAGUGAGGGGCAGAGAGGCAGGCAGUGGGCAUGGGUAGGUUCUGGUUUUGUGAUUAGUAAUAUUAUCUCUUUAACUGAAAAAAAUAAACUCAUUUCAGAUUUGUAUAAUUUCA